UGCCAGCAGCCGCGGUAAUACAGAGGGUGCGAGCGUUAAUCGGAAUUACUGGGCGUAAAGGGUGUGUAGGCGGAGAUAUAAGUUAGAUGUGAAAGCCCUGGGCUCAACCUGGGAGUUGCAUAUAAUACUGUAUUUCUAGUGUAUGAGAGAGGAGAGCGGAAUUUCCGGUGUAGCGGUGAAAUGCGUAGAUAUCGGAAGGAACACUCGUGGCGAAGGCGGCUCUCUGGCUCAAUACAGACGCUGAGACACGAAAGCGUGGGGAGCAAACAGGAUUAGAUA
Molecule: ribosomal RNA, 279 nt
Filed under: uncultured bacterium
Lineage: Bacteria
Description: partial 16S ribosomal RNA
Rfam family: Bacterial small subunit ribosomal RNA
Source: RNAcentral